GCCCCCGUCUCCCGUAGCGACCGCGACAGCUGGCGGCCCGGGGAGGCGGGGAGAUUUGUGCGGAGAAAGCCGUGGUUUACAGGAGGCCGUACCGUCAUUCCGAGGCGUUUCCUCCCGGGUUUCACGGCCCAGAAUGUCCCGAGGUGGAAGGGACCCACAAGGAUCACCGACUCCAACCCCUGGACCCACACAGGACCACCCAAAAUUCAAACCUUGUGUCUUCUAGCAAUGUCCAAACGCUCCUUGAACUCCAGCACUUUGCCGUACCCACUGCCCCGGGCAGCCUGUUCCAUGCCCACCGCCCUCUGGUCUGGUGAGGAGCCUUUCCCUAACUCCCAACCUGUCCGUCCCCAGACAGCUCCAUACCACAGAGACGAGAAAGUUCAUGAGACAAAGAGAGGGAGAAAUCUUACCAACUGCCAUCGUGAUCAAAGUAAACUUGACUGAGGGAAAACUUUAGAGCCCUUUCAUGUAAAAUAGAAGAUGUGUCUCCUGCUGUAGGAGCAGAAGAUAAGAGGAGAUGCUCUGGAAAAGCAGCAGGGAAGUGUUGCCUGAGCUCAGGGUGCCCAGGCCAGCAGAAAGGAGGAAGCAGACCCACAGGCCAGAAGUGGCUGCUAACACGGGGUGACAGAUGCCCUUUUGGUGGUAGCUGUACCGCCAAACCUUGUGCUCAGCAGGCUUGAGGCCUGCCCUGAGCUUUGGGUGCUACAGCCAUCUGCGUGCACCAGCGAUACUGACAGCACCACAAGUCCCUGCCAUCUUCUGGUAAGCAGGUUCCCCUUCUGUACAGCUGCUUAAAGAUCUGUAAUUGCUUUUAGACAGAAGAAAUAAUAGUAUUUGAUGCCUUUUUGUGAAAAGCUGGAACACCAUUUAAUUAAUCUACAUAAAAACUAAAACUAGAUUACCAGAAGGUUACUGCAAAAACUAAAACUAGAUUACCAGAAGGUUACUGCCUCACAUCAAUAGAUUUUCUGUCAUAAUGGAGGACUUCAUAUUCCCUGUGUGUAGAGACCACUUCACUGUGCUGAGAAGCAGCUGGCUCUGCAAUGGAAAGACCUCAUCACUGAUGUCAGUACCAUUUCAAAAGGUUUUUAAAUGCAAAAGAAGAAAAUAACUCCUGCGUUUGCCUUGCAUUUUGCUGUAAUGUAAGUUACAGAUGGGAUUUACCAUCCUAUCAUGACCAAUAUGCUUGUCUUGCAAAAUCACCAGUCCCACAAGAAAUCAGGGUUUUAUAUGGCUACAGCAGAUCGGGACAGGCCUUAGGUUUUAUCUCCAAACCUCCAGGCUGUUUCCUGACACCGAAGCACCAGAGUAUUUCUUCCAGACCAAUUUAAUAUGACUUAUGAGCACAUGACUUCUUCAGAAAUUGCAAAGGCCCGGCUCGGUUCUUCGUUCUCCAUUCAUACGCCAGAAGCAGAUGAUAAAUACACUGAAUAAUCUCCUACAGCGACUGUCACACAUUCUGAGAUCAUGCUGGGCCUUUUGCAGAUCUUCCAUUGCCAGAUACUCCUGCCAGAAGGAAUGCCAACAGAAUUUGGUCUGGACUUGAGACCAAGAUGGACAAAUAAUAUGGCUAAUUUUGCAAUAAAAUGUACUAGAGUCUAUUUCACACUGUUACUACUGAAUUUGGGCUAACUUCCUCCUUUUUGUUCAAGCAGUGUGCUUGAAAAGCAUUUUUUUUUCCAGCAUAUUCUUGCAUAUUGAAUUCAAUCCUGGUCAUUAGCAGCUUUGUUCCAUCACAGUACCAUUGGACAUCAAGGGUAUGUCCUUUUCAUAGCUGACUUCAGCAAAGAGUCUGGCAGCCAUGAUAUACAUCUCUAACACCGGGGUUAGUGAAUCAGGAGCAACAGCCCAGUGCAGCUGUGUCACAGCUCACUGUGAACUGACACACUGCAACAAGGACAAGCACAAACAGGAAAACCAAACAGUUCAUAUCUGCAAACUUUUUUUUGUUCCAAAAAGCCUCCUUGGUGUUCCCAACCUCAGAUAAUUUCCUGCUUAGAAGAGAAGUUGAAUGGAGGGUCCCUCUUUACAAGGAGCUAUGUGGAGAAGACAAGGAGCAUGAGAACUAUCAGACUUCCUCCAGAUGUGGCAGAGUCCCCAUGACUGUAGUUUUUUAAGGUGUGAUUGGACAGGGUGCUUGACAAUCACAUCUAGGUUUCCUAUUCCCACAAAAAGUUGGGCCUGGCAAUCUUUUGUGAUCCAUUGCAACCUGAAUUGUACCACUAUUCUGUGAGGUUAUCCUUUUUAGUGCCUAAGUAGCUUUUUAAUUGCAGGGCAGAGGUUCUAUUUGUGUAGGGAGGGAUGGCUGAAGCCUGGCGUACACACUGUCCUCAUAACUUGGAGGUGUGACAGACUACCAAAAGCAAUUGGUCAGAGGUAGCAAUGUGUUAAUUUGUUGUUGCAUAAUUCAUCAAAAUUUGUUUAUCUGAAGUCUUAUUUUAUGUUGUUGUACAGCCUAUUGAUGUUCUUCCAGGUCCAAGCAGUUAAUUUUACAGGGUGGCUUUAUCUAUGGUGCCAGCCUGCCACGCACAUUGUCUUUGUGGGUGAGAACAGUGGCUGGUUGAUGUUCCCAAGGAGACUGGUGAAAAGUGAGGUCUCCAACAGAAAUGGACAAGACAUCACUUAUUUGCAACCAUGGUGAAACCCUGGCAAAAUAUACUCAAAGGCUAUGACUGUGCUGGACUCUUCCUACACUUACUUUAGGGAAUUACACAGGAUCUGAAUCCCUGAACAAUCCCCACAUGCUGUAAGGGAUCAGGUCAACAUUCAUAGAACUUCAGCAGCAUCAUUUUAAUAUUCAAGCAUUGACUGUAAAAAACCUCCUGCUGUUAAAGUCAACAAAUAAAGGAUUACAUCUUUUUCUUUUUUGCCUUUUCUUCCCUUUCUGUCUGUCAGCAGAAUAUAUAAUAAAUAUUCCAGCCACUGUUAUUGAGAAUACUGCUACGUCACCGUAAGGCUCUGAGGAAUAAAUUAGUUAUACUGUUGAUAGCACAAAGUAGCAAGGGAUUCUGCAGAGACAACAGGUGGAAAAAAUAUAACAUUUAGUAUUAAUUGGCAGAGUUAAAAUUCUAAAGCUUGGUUGCAUAUUAGGAAGGUUUGUUGUAUUAAGUUUGGUUUUCAAAUAAUGUAAUUUACACCAAAGGAGCAAAGAAGUCCAUCACAGAAACUAAUACCUUAAAAUAGUCAAAAUGGGAAAAACUGGGGUGGCAUGAAAUGUAUGUUCUUGUGGAAAAUUGAUUCAGUCACCAGAGACAGGUACACAUUAGACUAAUCUGGCGUAGAGAGGCAUUCCUAAAAGUUCCAAUAGGUAGAAAAAUAGAGUUUAAUAUUCAAAGGUGAAAUCCCCAUUUCUGUGAGCCUACACAGGGAUAAUGCACACUCUGUGUAGCCUACAUACAGUUUAGGCUGACAGAUCUUGACUUAAAGGUCAGAAGAAGAGAAGCACGGUCAUGAUGCACAGCUGGCUGACGAGCAAGGGAAAAUGGAAGACGUCUGAGUUACUGCAAAUGGCGGACUCUCCUCAUUAACCUAUGGGCUGUUUUACAGAAUUUAUGCCUCUCCAUUACUAUGCAUUCAGAAGUCAUUCAAACUGUAGUAGCCUCUGUAAAAAUUUGUAAGUAAGACAGGCAUCAGGACAAGGCCAAAUCAAGAAAAGAAUGACCAGUCCAUUAAGGAUGGCUGUCUUGGGGACUUGUACUUUACUCCAUUUCAGAUGUAUUUCAGUGAGAUCUACGUCCCCAGCAAAACAGUCUACUGUUUGUCUCUGUUUUUAAUCAAAUGAGGAAAAACCUCUCGCUGCUGUGUGUCUUUGAGAAGUUGCAUGUUUUCAGUGCAUGUGAACUAUUUAAAAGCCCCUUUCUUUUGAAUAUUGCCGUACUCACUGGUGUUCUCCUCUACCAUAUAAACUAGAGCUGUGGGCAGCUUUCCUCAGCCCCAGGUCUUCUAGUUAGAUAGGCACGUCUCUCUGAGUUUGCCACCCAAAGCAACCUCCUUAUAAUAAAGCCAAAAGAGAAAAACUUUGGAAUGGCAAUUCAUAUCCUCAGGUAGGCACCUUUUUUUGGGUAGCCAAUCUGACCCAUCUCAACUGCUCGGAUUUUUUUUGUUGAAUAUGAAAGUAAACCUAGUGUGAGGAAUGCAGACCUAGACAUUGAAGCUUCAGCUGUCUAAAGCCGACCUUCUAAAAUUGUUUUAGGUGAAUCAUGCUUUUUAUGCAGAACUGUUUAUCAUCCGUUGUUUCUAGCAGUAUCCUAUAUGUUACAGGCACUAUACAUAAACAGAACUACAGUUGUCCGUGCCUGAAAGGGCUUGCAUCUGAAAAACAGCAAAUCACACACACACUAAAGAGGUGCUUGGCAUAGCAACAGAGCUUCAAACAGUUGGCGAAAUUAUAGUCACUUGUUAAUUAUGAAGGAUUUAUAGAGAUUAAUAUGCUGAGUAAAUAAGCUUGUCUCAUACCUUGAAACAAAUCCACUGAAAGUCUAAUUUAGGCAUAAGAAGAGUUUGAACAGUCUUGUAAGAUAAGGUGAACACAAUGUUAAUUUUCUGGAUUAAUUAAAUUGCUCUGUGAUCAAUUUGGUACAUCACCUAUUGAAGAAGAUCUUUAAAUUUUAAAGGAAUUUACUUUCAAGUUCCUCCCUCUAUUUCACAGCUAUUCACGCACCAAAGGACUAAACAACAUUGUAGAAAACAACAAGCAAGUAAUUAGAAUGUGUCAAGAAAACAGCCAGCUCUCACAAAUGAAAAAGAAGUGCACGAGAGAAAGGCUUUGAACCCUGGAAUGUGAGUGCAACCAAACUUAAACACAAACAAAACGAAAUGUGUAUUCCAUAAGGUGCAGCUGCAGUUGUUGAGGUGCCCAUGCACCUCUCCCUGGUGUGGAAGAGCACUGGCAUACCUUCUGCUGAAGGGCUGCUGGCGACUGCUGACUGCCUGCUCAGUGCGACUCAGGCUGCAGAAUGUGACAGAUGAGGAGAGAAGCCAUGGGAACCAGCCCAGCACCUCCACAGAAUAUCUGGGCUGUCCCAGUGCAUCCCACUGUCCUGCUGAGGCCAUACCAGCUACUCAGAUGAGGAGGAUGUCCUGUGCGAAAGCAUGGUUCUGUAAUCACAUAGACAAUUUCAGUUUUCUGCUGCCACGUUUGCUUCCCUUUAUCUUGGUA
Long non-coding RNA from Gallus gallus (chicken), 5161 nucleotides. RefSeq lists it as uncharacterized. The record is from RefSeq and is a predicted model, not a curated record. NCBI's taxonomy places the organism in Eukaryota, Metazoa, Chordata, Aves, Galliformes, Phasianidae. The transcript has 4 exons.